Podarcis lilfordi (Lilford's wall lizard) is the source of this 501-nucleotide non-coding RNA. The record is from the annotation of a GenBank genome assembly. Lineage: Eukaryota; Metazoa; Chordata; Lepidosauria; Squamata; Lacertidae.
CACGUGAGGCCACAAUUUGCUCAACCUUCUCCAGGCAUUAGAUAGCAAAAAUGAUAAUUUUGCUUCAUCUUGUUUUCUUUUCAGCUGUUUUUAGAGGUAAAUCCAUCUUUUUUAAAAAAAGAAAAAAUAAGAAUUGGGCAGCCUGACUGCUAAUAAUAUGCAGAAGAGCUCAUUUAUAUCUUUUUCUUUCUAGGCAUCCAAUCGGAGGUCCAGCUGGUAGAGUCUGGAGGGGAUGUAAAAAAGCCUGGAGAGUCCCUCCGCCUUACCUGUCGAGCUUCCGGGUUCACCUUUAGCAGCUAUUACAUGGCGUGGGUCAGACAAGCUCCAGGAAAGGGCCUGGAAUGGGUGGCCUAUAUAGGUACAUAUUCAUCUCCCAUUUACUACUUGGAUUCCAUCAAAGGAAGAUUCACCAUUUCCAGGGAUGAUUCAAACAGCCAGCUGUAUUUGCAAAUGAACAACCUUAAACCUGAGGACACAGCCGUGUAUUACUGUGCAAGAGAC